Molecule: ribosomal RNA, 483 nt
Filed under: uncultured bacterium
Lineage: Bacteria
Description: partial 16S ribosomal RNA
Rfam family: Bacterial small subunit ribosomal RNA
Source: RNAcentral
ACUCAAAGGAAUUGACGGGGGCCCGCACAAGCAGCGGAGCGUGCGGUUUAAUUCGUCGCAACGCGAAGAACCUUACCAGGGCUUGACAUGCUGGUGGUACUGAUCCGAAAGGAGAGGGACCCUUCGGGGAGCCAGCACAGGUGCUGCAUGGCUGUUGUCAGCUCGUGCCGUGAGGUGUUGGGUUAAGUCCCGCAACGAGCGCAACCCCUGUUGCCAGUUGUAUUCUCUGGCGAGACUGCCCCGUAAAGCGGGGAGGAAGGCGGGGAUGACUUCAAGUCAGCACGGCCCUUACGUCCUGGGCCACUCGCACGCUACAAUGGUCCGUACAAUAGGUUGCCAAGGAGCGAUCCGGAGCUAAUCCUUAAAGCGGACCUCAGUUCAGAUUGCAGGCUGAAACCCGCCUGCAUGAAGUCGGAGUUGCUAGUAACUGCCGGUCAGCACACGGCGGUGAAUACGUUCCCGGGCCUUGUACACACCGCCCGU